CCUACGGGAGGCAGCAGUGAGGAAUAUUGGUCAAUGGGCGGGAGCCUGAACCCGCCAAGCCGCGUGAGGGAAGAAGGUACAGCGUAUCGUAAACCUCUUUUGUCAGGGAACAAAGGCGGGGACUAGUCCCCGGAUGAGGGUACCUGAAGAAAAAGCAUCGGCUAACUCCGUGCCAGCAGCCGCGGUAAUACGGAGGGUGCGAUCGUUAUCCGGAUUUAUUGGGUUUAAGGGGUGCGCAGGCGGCCUGUUAAGUCAGCGGUAACAGCCCGGGGCUCAACCCCGGCGAGCCGUUGAAACUGGCGGGCUGGAGUUGGAGAGACGUACGCGGAAUGCGCGGUGUAGCGGUGAAAGGCUUAGAUAUCGCGCAGAACCCCGAUUGCGAAGGCAGCGUACCGGCUCCACACUGACGCUGAGGCACGAAAGCGUGGGUAUCGAACAGGAUUAGAUACCCGUGUAGUC
This 459-nucleotide ribosomal RNA is filed under the name uncultured bacterium. Its description in RNAcentral is "partial 16S ribosomal RNA". It matches the Rfam family "Bacterial small subunit ribosomal RNA", at positions 338 to 795 of the family's 1533-position model. The record is from RNAcentral.